Non-coding RNA from Delphinapterus leucas (beluga whale), 2493 nucleotides. The record is from RefSeq and is a predicted model, not a curated record. Lineage: Eukaryota; Metazoa; Chordata; Mammalia; Artiodactyla; Monodontidae.
UGGGGGUUUUAGCAUCUGUAAAAACAACUCAGGAAAUGUGCUUUAGAUACUAUUAUCUAGGUACUUCAAAGAAGAGCUAGAGCUGAGGAUAUGAGGGAGUGGUCUGCCCAGGGUCCUGCUCCUAUUUCAUUACAGCACCUGGGCCUCACUUGGUACCUGGGAGCUUUGGGGCUGAGCUGGGAACUUCAUUGUUAUCUUCUUGAGAAGCAGUCUCUGACUGACAGAUGCACAUAUCAUUCUCAGAGUCCAACAAGUGUUGUUGCAUACUGGAUGAACUUAACAAUUUAAUAGAAUGAAUCUGUAACAUAUCUAAUGAAAAAAAAAGAAACAGAUACAACAGGCACUGUUACUUUACAUUAAACAGAAUAGCAGCUUCAGCUCCUCUAUAAACAUUUUUUUCCACACAAUACAUUUCCAAUCAAUGGAUAUUAACCAAGGUGUAGAGUCCACAUUUCAUGGAAGAGCUUGUGUCUUCAACUUUUGGAAAAGGACAGGUAAGGCAGGAUGUGAGGCAGGGAAGCUAACAAAUGGAGGACAUGUACAAGGGGAGAUAUGAAAGAAGAAGUGUACAUAACCCCCAAAUCACCUGUUGAUUGUAAAUGAGGAAAGACGACCUUCCAAAAGGGUGAUAAAAUAUGAGGAACAGGAGAAAAUGGGAGUUUAUAGUAAAACAAACAAACAAAAACUAUAUCAGAGUAUAGAACUAAGAAAACUGAAUUACACUUCAGAAGUUGAUUAAGAUAGAAUGCUAAUAAAUUGCUCCAACCAGUUCUUCUGGAAGAUAAGAAGUCUGGCAAGCCAAACUGAAUAGAGAUGAUGUGGUUGUCACCUUGUUUGUGAGUAAGAUCUUGUAAAUAAGCCACAACACAUAUUUAUGUUUUAUUCCCCAAGCCUGUAACAUCCAGUCCCAGGAAAUAUGGGUUGAUGUUUGGUUUUAUGCUCUAGUUGGAGAGAAUCAUAAUAUAUGGAUGUGGGUGGAAGAGAGGUCAAAAAUGACUAGCAAGUUCUGGCCUCCAGAAGGAUGGGCAACAAGAAGGUAGUUAGAAAUAAUUGUCCAAAAUUAAACCUAUCUGUAGAAGAUUUUCUGACUUUAUGAAGGUGGUAGACUAUGACUGCCAGUUCUUUCCAUCAUUCCUGAUUUCCUCCUGUGUGACAACUUUUGCCAGUGUUUGGUGGAAGAUACAUGGGGUUAGACAACCGUGGGAUCUAGUGAAGAAGUCAGUGGGAGUCUGUUGCCUCCGUGUCCGAUGAUGGGCUGAAGUCUCUGUGCGUCAGCAGAGCUACCAGCAAGAAAAGGUGACUUUGGAGAAGGAUCUGGUGCCCUUUCCCAUGUUGCUGACCAUGUACCUGGUGCAGGACUUGUGAAGCAAAAGAGGAGAUCUGGAGAGAGCUUCAGGAGCUGCGAUCACAGCUGUGGCCCUAAGUCAAGGAAACACAAAAUCUCUUUAGCAAAAAACAGUUCAUUUACUCACAGGUCAAUUCCUCAUUGUGGGACACUAAGGAAUAAACGGACUGCAAAUGCAAAGGUUGCACCACAAGAGAGGAGCCCCAAUAUUAUGAGCUGCAAAGCUCCUAUAGGAUGACUAGCAAAUCUGUCCCUCAUUUCCUGGGAACAGAGAGAAAGAAGGAAAAAGAGAAAGAGAGAGAGAGACAUUUGCUGCUCUGGAAUGUAAACAAAAUCUCCGUGGGGAGAGAUGAGGAAGCUCUCCACAUUUUUAUCACCGUUAUUAUGUAAGCCAAAAGCUCUGAAAAAGAUUUCCACUUAUGACCAUUGGGGAGUGACUGAGGCUAGUCUUGCUCCCCUACUGUAAGCAACCAGAAAAUUGGACAAAAUACAUGAUACUACAUGUUCAGACACUGCGCAAUGGAAAAUACAGGACUGUGAUCCAUAAAGGAAGGAAAACUGAUGAGUUUGGAGCUGUUAUGAAUAAAACCGUAUGAAGAUUUAUUUACAAGUUUUUGUGUGAAUCUACGGCCUUAUUUCCUCAAGCAAAUAAUUAGAAGUGGAAUUGUUGGGACACAGGGAGUGGAAUUCCUGCCAGGUUGCUUUCCAUAAAAAGGCUGUGUUCUUUUCCUACAGCCCAACCAGCUGUAUGGAUGUGGGGAGAGGUAAUAUGGCCUUGCUGUCAGAAUCAAUGGGUGUUAUUUUUCUACCAAAAUAUAUUGUUAAUGGAGAAGGUGCUGACUGAUCGAAAGUGUCAAAAGUGGUUUACGAAGUUUUGUGCUGGAGAUUUCUUGCUGGAUGAUGCUCCAUUGUCAGGUGACGAAAAGUGGAUACUGUUCAAUAAUGUGGAAUGGAAGAGAUUGUGGGACAAGUGAAAUACACCACCACCAACCACACCAAAGGCCGGUCUUCAUCCAAAGAAGAGCAACUGAAAGCGGCUCUUGACGAAAAGCAUCCGGAAUUAGCCAACAGAAAAUGCAUAAUCUUCCAUCAGGAUAAUGCAAGACUGUAUGUUUCUUUGAUGACCAGGCAAAAACUGUUACAGCUUG